CGCGGGGUAGAGCAGUUUGGUAGCUCGCAAGGCUCAUAACCUUGAGGUCACGGGUUCAAAUCCUGUCUCCGCAAA
Molecule: transfer RNA, 75 nt
Filed under: Spinacia oleracea (spinach)
Lineage: Eukaryota; Viridiplantae; Streptophyta; Magnoliopsida; Caryophyllales; Amaranthaceae
Also listed under: 11 other names
Description: transfer RNA-Met (CAT)
Rfam family: tRNA
About the family: Transfer RNA (tRNA) molecules are approximately 80 nucleotides in length. Their secondary structure includes four short double-helical elements and three loops (D, anti-codon, and T loops).
Source: RNAcentral